Molecule: long non-coding RNA, 784 nt
Organism: Pelobates fuscus (common spadefoot toad)
Lineage: Eukaryota; Metazoa; Chordata; Amphibia; Anura; Pelobatidae
Exons: 3
Source: RefSeq, a predicted model, not a curated record
CUGCGUCAUGCGAUCUCUCGGAGGCCAAAGACUCGCUCAAGAUGGCGGAGUGAGGAGGAAGUGGGAGGCCUCGCUGGGCCCCGGGAUCCCAGGGGCCCCAGUGUGCGCGAGCAGGGAACCCUCAUCGGGAGCCGAGUUAUCCUCAUUGGAUCUAUCUGUAAUGCUGGGCAGAGAUGCUGUAACGGAUAAGGAUCCCACCCCCCACACUCCCUGCUUGAGGAAAAAAAGACCAGCACGCCACCAUGUCUACAGCAAUGAUCGCAGAGCCCCCGCGAGCUUCUGUCGCUGACAUUGAUUGAUCCUGCAGAUGUCUGCUGCAGCGUUCCCUGAAGGUCAAGGGAAGAUCACAAGGCUCCAAGGCCCACACACCUCGCUGGGCUGUGACAGGCGUUGGGACACAAUGAAGCUACAGGUUGAGCCCUUAACGGAGAAUUUUACCUCAUGCAUGUCUCAUGGACUCCAUUCACCAUUUAUUGUAGGGAAUCAACCGACAUCUGUCCUCUCCAAAUCGAAAAGUGCAGCUUUUCUGCUGAAAUGCGCGUCAGUUUCCUGCAGUUUCUUGAGGCUUGACUUGAGAAUUCCACUUGGGAAACGCCGAUUUCACGAACAUCAGGAAUAUAGAACUGUGAGUUAGUAAAUUGGUCUAAGAACAACCCUGAAUUAUCCUGGCCCUGCUCUGUUUUUUAUUUUUAUUUUUGGUGAUGUAUCACAUUUAAUGUCCGAAAAAAGAAGUUCACACUUUCUAAAUCCCCUGAUCAUGUUUAAAUGUAAGACGUAUGGAAGA